AGUGAACGCUGGCGGUAGGCCUAACACAUGCAAGUCGAACGGCAGCACAGUAAGAGCUUGCUCUUACGGGUGGCGAGUGGCGGACGGGUGAGGAAUACAUCGGAAUCUACUUUUUCGUGGGGGAUAACGUAGGGAAACUUACGCUAAUACCGCAUCCGACCUACGGGUGAAAGCAGGGGAUCUUCGGACCUUGCGCGAUUGAAUGAGCCGAUGUCGGAUUAGCUAGUUGGCGGGGUAAAGGCCCACCAAGGCGACGAUCCGUAGCUGGUCUGAGAGGAUGGUCGGCGACACUGGAACUGGGACAGGGUCCAGGCUCCUACGGGAGGCAGCAGUGGGGAAUAGUGGACAAUGGGCGCAAGCCUGAUCCAGCCAUACCGCGUGGGUGAAGAAGGCCUUCGGGUUGUAAAGCCCUUUUGUUGGGAAAGAAAAGCAGCAGGUUAAGACCCCGCUGUUCUGACGGUACCCAAAGAAGAAGCACCGGCUAACUUCGUG
RNAcentral lists this ribosomal RNA (492 nucleotides) under uncultured bacterium. RNAcentral describes it as "partial 16S ribosomal RNA". It matches the Rfam family "Bacterial small subunit ribosomal RNA", at positions 29 to 507 of the family's 1533-position model. The record is from RNAcentral.